This 468-nucleotide ribosomal RNA is filed under the name uncultured bacterium. Its description in RNAcentral is "partial 16S ribosomal RNA". It matches the Rfam family "Bacterial small subunit ribosomal RNA", at positions 28 to 507 of the family's 1533-position model. The record is from RNAcentral.
GACGAACGCUGGCGGCGUGCUUAACACAUGCAAGUCGAACGGAAAGGCUCCAGCUUGCUGGAGUACUCGAGUGGCGAACGGGUGAGUAACACGUGGGUGAUCUGCCCUGCGCUUCGGGAUAAGCCUGGGAAACUGGGUCUAAUACCGGAUAGGACCGCACUUUGGUGUGUGUGGUGGAAAGGUUUUUCUGGUGUGGGAUGAGCUCGCGGCCUAUCAGUUUGUUGGUGGGGUAAUGGCCUACCAAGACGGCGACGGGUAGCCGGCCUGAGAGGGUGGACGGUCACAUUGGGACUGAGAUACGGCCCAGACUCCUACGGGAGGCAGCAGUGGGGAAUAUUGCACAAUGGGGGAAACCCUGAUGCAGCGACGCCGCGUGGGGGAUGAAGGCCUUCGGGUUGUAAACUCCUUUCGCUAGGGACGAAGCUUUUUGUGACGGUACCUGGAGAAGAAGCACCGGCUAACUACGUG